Non-coding RNA from Taeniopygia guttata (zebra finch), 345 nucleotides. Lineage: Eukaryota; Metazoa; Chordata; Aves; Passeriformes; Estrildidae. The record is from RefSeq and is a predicted model, not a curated record.
AGCAGGGAAAUGAGCUGGGAUCUGGUUUUCUCCCUGACAAGGGUGCCCUGAGAGGACAUGUGUGCUGGGUGUGGAAAAAAGGGCAGCUGUUUUGCUGUUGUUCUGACAGGCAGCGUUUGAUUCACACGAUGUCAGUGUUCCAGGCGGUAAAGCUUUCCCUUCCAAACUGCUGCUGUAUACAGAAGCAUUUGCAGCAGAGAGAUGAGCUAUCUCCUUCUCUCCAUCUCAAUGACACUGUCUCCAUCCCCUGCAGCCAUCCUUCCUCUAGUGUUACAACAGCCCUUCCUGUGGAUGUCUAUUUUUGGCAACUAUCACUUAAAGGACAAUAAAGAAACACGGACAGAA